This is a small nuclear RNA of Heteronotia binoei (common prickly gecko), 134 nucleotides long. RefSeq annotates it as U4 spliceosomal RNA. NCBI's taxonomy places the organism in Eukaryota, Metazoa, Chordata, Lepidosauria, Squamata, Gekkonidae. The transcript has a single exon. The record is from RefSeq and is a predicted model, not a curated record.
ACCUUUGCGCAGUGGCAGUAUCGUAGCCAAUGAGGUUAAUCCCAGGCGCGAUUAUUGCUAAUUGAAACUUUUACAAACCUAACUCACUGCACUGUACCCUGAACCAACAGGUGCCCUGACUUCUUUUUAAAAAC